RNAcentral lists this long non-coding RNA (2483 nucleotides) under Lynx pardinus (Iberian lynx). The record is from RNAcentral. Lineage: Eukaryota; Metazoa; Chordata; Mammalia; Carnivora; Felidae.
GUCAUGUCCCAGUCUGUAUCUCGGUAGGAUGGGUACAGGUCAUGGCGUAAGAAGACUGGGGUACCGUCAGGCCAAAGGCAGGCACGGAUAACUGAGUUGGGGAUGUAGCCAUCAGGAGCAAAGGGCCAUUGCCGCCCUUUACCAAAGAAGCCAUGCAGUUUAUGAUAGGGGUUCAACCCAUUCCAGCCAGCCAGCCGUAGUUGAGCAGGAACCACAUGUGGGGGAUGAUUAUGCUUGGUGUCAGGAAUAGAAAAAGCAAUAUCCUUAUCCUCCAAAAAAUGUAAUUUGGGUUCCACUUGAAUCAGAGAAGGCAUACGUCUCUCUUCCUCUACAACAUGGGGCACAGUAUUGUCAAAGGCAAUGACCCGUUUGUUAACAAGGGCCUCUAGCCCCUGUAAUUCCUGCAGCCCUUGUCCAAGAUAGACAAAUUUGGGUACAAGUACUAUUUCAAAAGAAAAGAAGAAGCUAGGCAGAAAGAGUUUAGGGUCUUCUUGUAUUUCAUCUGCAUUAUUUAGGAUAGCUAGGUGAAUCAGCCGAGCAGGAGGGAGCAAUUUUAAGCAUGAUACCAGGUAAAGACUCUGGUUGAAAGUCAAAAGCAGGUCACCCCGAUUAUUGGCAAAGCAGAGUGGACCAAAAUGCAGUGCUGAAUCCAACUCAGUUAUGAGUCUACCAUGGAAGUCCCAGAUCCGGACUGAGCCAUCAAUGCCCCCUGUGACAAAAAGUUUCAGGGAGGAGCAGACAUCAAAUGAAGUGAUGGCACACUGGUGCAGGCAUUUUGUCUCUUCAAACAUAGAGCUUUGUUUUGAUUCUGCAGAUUGCAGAAAAUCUUGAUAGUGCCAGAGACGCCAGCAGUGGUUGUCAGUGAUGGCACCCACAGAACCCGGCAGCAGUAUCACGUGUUGCAGGGGGCAACUACAGAGAAUUUUGCUUAUGGACUGCAGGAUUACCUUGUUCUUCCACAGCAAAGCUUCUGUCAGGUAUACAGUAUUAUCCAUGCCAUAGGAACAGAGCAAGGAGUUUUCCUGGGGACCUUCCAGGGUAGACAGGGCCAAAACUGCCCCAGAAUGAACAGUCUUUUCUAUUCGGGCAUAGCUAUAGUGGGAGAGGAUUCUCACAAUGCCACUGUCUUGCCCACAGAACAUCAGUCCUACUAGGCCCAUACCCAAAUGGGACUGUGCAUAGGCCAGGCAACUUACUCUGUCCCUAGAGUUUACUGAAGUGCAUACCAUAUACUUGGCUGUGCAAGGCGAGCGCGUUGCAUCAAACACCAGCACCUCUGAGCUGCCUGUUGCCACAAAGAGCUCCUCAUUGUCUGGGUCAUAGGCCCAAGCCACAGCCUUAUCCAUGACAAGCAGAGGCCAGGUGAGAACCAGGAGAUCUCCUGUCACUGGAGACAGGAAGCGCAACAAACCAUCCUUAGUGGCACACAGGAUCCGAGUCCAAUUUCGGCCACAGCAGACCCGGUGCACCUGCUCAGGAGCAGAACCACAGACAUUGAAGAGGCUAUAAAAAUAAGGCAGGUGGUGCAGUGAGAAAGCGUGAAUAGUCUGGCAGAAAAAAGUGGUGUUAUCAAUAAACUGCAGUUGCCACAGACCCUCACCAAUAUCCAGCUGCCGCAGCAAGUUCCCAACGGCAAGGUUCCAUUCCCUUACUGUGCCUUCUCGGCCUGCUGUCAGUAAGGUGUGGAUCUCUGGCCGGCUGUGAACACAUAUAACUGAUGAGGAAUGGGCCUGAAAGCUGUGGAGGAAGUUACCCUGGUCUAGACCCCAAGCAUGGAUCUCUCCAUCCUUGUUUCCAGCAUAGAAAUAUCCCUGAGAGACACAAGUGAAGGAGCAGGUGAUGGAAGAGCCACUGCCUAUGGGAGUGAACUUUCUUACCUCUUUCAGCUGGCCCUGACCCUGGUGGGUGAAGACCCUUACCUUAUUCUCACAAAGGGCCAGGAGAGACCCCUUGGGGCCAUUCAGGGAAAAGCCCUGUACAAGCUCAUGACCAGACACGGGCACUGUUUGUGCCAUCUGGAGGUCCCUGCCAUUUGGUAAGAUAAGCCAGGUAACCACAGCCCCCAAGGUACCAGACAGCAGCACCUCCGUUUCUGGGUCAUAGCAGAGGCAGCUGAUGAAGAAACGACAGGGCACUGUGCCCAGGGAUAUGAAUGCUCGAUGGUGAUCUCCAAAGAGCCACAGGUGCAUGUCACCACAGUAAGCAACUAACAUGUGGUAGGAACCUGUGUGGACCAUUGCUUCAAUGGGUGGUACUUGAUCCAUCACACAAAACAUCAUCUUCUCCAUUGUUCCUUCUGCUUCUGUAUUUUUCUUUUGUAUCCAAAGUACUGCCUAGAAGAGGAUGAGAGAUGAAAGUUGGACCAUGGAGGCAGAUGAUCUCCCAAGAGUAAGGGGUAUGAAGGGUUGAAUGUUUAGAUCGCUGUUCCCUCUUGUAAGACUAAGGAAAGACCAAAGAACUUAACUUUGGGAGUUUCCUAAUAC